GACGAACGCUGGCGGCGUGCUUAACACAUGCAAGUCGAGCGGUAAGGCCCUUUCGGGGUACGACGAGCGGCGAACGGGUGAGUAACACGUGGGUGACCUGCCCUCCAGCUCUGGGAGUAAGACCCGGGAAACCGUAGGGUCGUAAUACCGGAUAUGACUCCAUGACGCAUGUUGUGGGGUGGAAAGCCUUGUGCGGCUGAGGAUGGGCCCGGCCGGCCUAUCAGCUUGUUGGUGGGGUGGAUGGCCUACCAAGGCGACGACGGGUAGCCGGCCUGAGAGGGCGACCGGCCACACUGGGACUGAGAUACGGCCCAGACUCCUACGGGAGGCAGCAGUGGGGAAUCUUGCGCAAUGGGCGAAAGCCUGACGCAGCGACGCCGCGUGA
RNAcentral lists this ribosomal RNA (385 nucleotides) under uncultured bacterium. RNAcentral's name for it is "bacterial SSU rRNA". It matches the Rfam family "Bacterial small subunit ribosomal RNA", at positions 28 to 404 of the family's 1533-position model. The record is from RNAcentral.